Danio rerio (zebrafish) is the source of this 119-nucleotide non-coding RNA. The record is from Rfam. NCBI's taxonomy places the organism in Eukaryota, Metazoa, Chordata, Actinopteri, Cypriniformes, Danionidae.
GCUUACGGCCAUACCACCCUGGAAAUGUCCGAUCUCAUCUGAACUCGGAAGUAAAGCAGGGUCGGGCCUGGUUAGUACUUGGAAGGGAGACCGCCUGGGAAUACCAGGUGCUGAAAGCU